UGCAAGUCGAACGCAGUAGCAAUACUGAGUGGCGAACGGGUGAGUAUAAUGUGGGUAUCUGCCUUUUGGUUUGGAAUAACACGAGGAAACUUGUGCUAAUACCGGAUAAGCCUUCACAGGGAAAGUUUUAUACGCCAAAAGAUGAGCCCGCACUUGAUUAGCUAGUUGGUAAGGUAAUGGCUUACCAAGGCUACGAUCAAUAGCUGAUCUGAGAGGAUGAUCAGCCACAUUGGGACUGAGACACGGCCCAAACUUCUACGGAAGGCAGCAGUGGGGAGUCUUGCACAAUGGGGGAAACCCUGAUGCAGCGAUGCCGCGUGAGUGAAGAAGGCCUUUGGGUUGUAAAGCUCUUUCGUCGGGGAAGAAAAUGACUGUACCCGAAUAAGAAGGUCCGGCUAACUUCGUGCCAGCAGCCGCGGUAAUACGAAGGGACCUAGCGUAGUUCGGAAUUACUGGGCUUAAAGAGCACGUAGGUGGUUGAGAAAGUUGGUGGUGAAAUCCCAAGGCUUAACCUUGGAACUGCCAUCAAAACUUUUUAACUAGAGUAUGAUUGAGGUAAGCGGAAUUUCUAGUGUAGAGGUGAAAUUCGUAGAUAUUAGAAAGAACACCAAUUGCGAAGGCAGCUUUCUAGAUCAUUACUGACACUGAGGUGCGAAAGCAUGGGUAGCGAAGAGGAUUAGAUACCCUCGUAGUCCAUGCCGUAAACGAUGUGUGCUAGACGUUGGAAAUUUAUUUUUCAGUGUCGCAGCAAAAGCGUUAAGCACACCGCCC
Molecule: ribosomal RNA, 771 nt
Filed under: alpha proteobacterium SCGC AAA003-L10
Lineage: Bacteria; Pseudomonadati; Pseudomonadota; Alphaproteobacteria
Description: SSU rRNA
Rfam family: Bacterial small subunit ribosomal RNA
Source: RNAcentral